CACGUAGGGGGGCAAGCGUUGUCCGGAUUUAUUGGGCGUAAAGAGCUCGUAGGCGGUUCGGUAAGUCGGGUGUGAAACCUCCAGGCUCAACCUGGAGACGCCACCUGAUACUGCUGUGACUUGAGUCCGGUAGGGGAGCGUGGAAUUCCUGGUGUAGCGGUGAAAUGCGCAGAUAUCAGGAGGAACACCAAUAGCGAAGGCAGCUCGCUGGGACGGUACUGACGCUAAGGCGCGAAAGCGUGGGGAGCGAACAGG
RNAcentral lists this ribosomal RNA (255 nucleotides) under uncultured bacterium. RNAcentral's name for it is "partial 16S ribosomal RNA". It matches the Rfam family "Bacterial small subunit ribosomal RNA", at positions 524 to 776 of the family's 1533-position model. The record is from RNAcentral.